Molecule: ribosomal RNA, 301 nt
Filed under: uncultured bacterium
Lineage: Bacteria
Description: partial 16S ribosomal RNA
Rfam family: Bacterial small subunit ribosomal RNA
Source: RNAcentral
CAGCCGCCGCGGGAAAACGAAGGGGGCUAGCGUUGCUCGGAAUUACUGGGCGUAAAGGGAGCGUAGGCGGAUGAAUUAGUCAGGGGUGAAAUCCCGGGGCUCAACCUCGGAACUGCCUUUGAUACUGUUCAUCUUGAGUAUGGGAGAGGUGUGUGGAACUCCGAGUGUAGAGGUGAAAUUCGUAGAUAUUCGGAAGAACACCAGUGGCGAAGGCGACACACUGGCCCAUUACUGACGCUGAGGCUCGAAAGCGUGGGGAGCAAACAGGAUUAGAUACCCGCGUAGUCCCUGUCUCUUAUAU